This 492-nucleotide ribosomal RNA is filed under the name uncultured bacterium. RNAcentral's name for it is "partial 16S ribosomal RNA". It matches the Rfam family "Bacterial small subunit ribosomal RNA", at positions 29 to 507 of the family's 1533-position model. The record is from RNAcentral.
AGUGAACGCUGGCGGUAGGCCUAACACAUGCAAGUCGAACGGCAGCACAGUAAGAGCUUGCUCUUACGGGUGGCGAGUGGCGGACGGGUGAGGAAUACAUCGGAAUCUACUUUUUCGUGGGGGAUAACGUAGGGAAACUUACGCUAAUACCGCAUACGACCUACGGGUGAAAGCAGGGGAUCUUCGGACCUUGCACGAUUGAAUGAGCCGAUGUCGGAUUAGCUAGUUGGCGGGGUAAAGGCCCACCAAGGCGACGAUCCGUAGCUGGUCUGAGAGGAUGAUCAGCCACACUGGAACUGAGACACGGUCCAGACUCCUACGGGAGGCAGCAGUGGGGAAUAUUGGACAAUGGGCGCAAGCCUGAUCCAGCCAUACCGCGUGGGUGAAGAAGGCCUUCUGGUUGUAAAGCCCUUUUGUUGUGAAAGAAAAGCAGCAGGUUAAUACCCCGCUGUUCUGACGGUACCCAAAGAAUAAGCACCGGCUAACUUCGUG